AGUUACCGCUCUAUAACCCUUUGUGAACAUACCUAUCACUGUUGCUUCGGCGGGUAGGGUCUCCGCGACCCUCCCGGCCUCCCGCCUCCGGGCGGGUCGGCGCCCGCCGGAGGAUAACCAAACUCUGAUUUAACGACGUUUCUUCUGAGUGGUACAAGCAAAUAAUCAAAACUUUUAACAACGGAUCUCUUGGUUCUGGCAUCGAUGAAGAACGCAGCGAAAUGCGAUAAGUAAUGUGAAUUGCAGAAUUCAGUGAAUCAUCGAAUCUUUGAACGCACAUUGCGCCCGCCAGCAUUCUGGCGGGCAUGCCUGUUCGAGCGUCAUUUCAACCCUCAAGCUCUGCUUGGUGUUGGGGCCCUACAGCUGAUGUAGGCCCUCAAAGGUAGUGGCGGACCCUCCCGGAGCCUCCUUUGCGUAGUAACUUUACGUCUCGCACUGGGAUCCGGAGGGACUCUUGCCGUAAAACCCCCCAAUUUUCCAAAGGUUGACCUCGGAUCAGGUAGGAAUACCCGCUGAACUUAA
Molecule: ribosomal RNA, 522 nt
Filed under: Colletotrichum camelliae
Lineage: Eukaryota; Fungi; Ascomycota; Sordariomycetes; Glomerellales; Glomerellaceae
Description: eukaryotic LSU rRNA
Rfam family: 5.8S ribosomal RNA (bases 170-323)
Source: RNAcentral